CCCAGAGAAGCGGGGAGGCUGGAGGAGAAACGGGCUGGAACAAGGAGGGCUUCUCGCUGCCCUUUUAAACCGGUUUUGUAGUGUACCCAUCUGGGUAAAAAAAAAAUAAAUGGGGAUUUAUACGAACAAACUCAGAAUAAAUCCAUUUACUCGAACAUUACUGUGCCUGCCUUUUAAAUAUCAAACAAAAUGCAUUUUUCCAGAUUUUUUUUCAGAGCUUUAGGUUCUUGGCAAGAGAGAUGUGGAGACCGUUGGUCUGGAUCUUCUCCCAUGACCCAAGAGAUCAAGUUCUCCUUAAAGUGGAACUAUCCUCAGUAUAAAUUCGCCUCACCUAGUUUUUUUAAUAGAUGUCUUUACUUUUAAAAGUUUAUGUCUAGCAUUUGUUCUCCUAUGAUUAGAAAAGUCAUAAACGUACUAACUUUAAAAAGGUCAGUAAAAUUUAAAAUAGCCCACUGCUGAAUGGACAGGAAGCAAUAGAGAGAUACUAGUCUCCAAAGAUUAAAUAGGAAUUCAUUCAAAAUUUCUAGUUUCUAAUACCACGACAAAUGUCUUUGGCAUAUCCCCUGGGCGCUCCUAGAAGAUAGUGGCAGUAUUUUUGAAAGUAGACCAGAAGCAAAGGUCUAAGGUGUAGACAGCAUCCCGUGGUCAGGGUCACCUGCUUUUUGGCAUGCAGAGAUGUUUUCAUUAACUACAUCCACUGUGGCUGCCAUUUUAUUAUUAGCUAACUUCCCAACGACAAUUCACAGUAUCUUAACUUUCCAAGUAGACCCUGAAAGUGUAGUGUAUUGUUAGAAGCAUAAAUUAAUUGGCAUAAACACUUGUUUAUUGAAUGUUGGUUUUGAAAAUUUUUGGUGUAAAUAAGUCACUGUGAAAUAGAAAUACUGUAUCUUCCCUUUGGCUGGGAAAAUUAGGACUUUGUUGCUGAGAAUACUUUUCCUAUUAUAUGGAUCGCAUUAUGGUUAGUCCUUGAUUUACAAUAAUUCAUUUAGUGACCGUUUGAAGUUACAACAGAUUAAAGAAAGAUUAAACAUGGUUAGCAUACUGUACCAAUACAGCCUUUAAAAUACCCAUAUGGCAUUAAAUUUUACUAAUACCAAUAAAUCAUUUAAAAAUAUUUCCUCUUUGAAAAAGACUUAAAAAUACAAUUUUAUUUUUUAAGCUUAUUUAUACCUUUGAAUUAAUUUUGACUCCUAGUGACUGCCUGGACAUGACUGCAGUUUUCUUAACCAGAUUUUUUCAGAAGUGGUUCACCAUUGCCUCCUUCCUAGGGCCAUGAGGAAUGGCUGUCCCAAAGUCACCCAGCUGGCUUUGUGGCUAAAGUACGACUGGAACUCAGAUGCUCCUGAUUUCUAUCCUUAACCACUACACCACUAAAACGUAACCACUACAUCUGGUUUCUAACUUUAACAACUACACCAAACACUACACUACUCCUUUAAAGUGUAACAAAGUGUUACACUUCUUUUAAAAAAUACAGAAAGUACUGAGAUACUGUUAAAGUAGCAGUUUUCUUACCCUUACAACUUGAUCUUUUUGUCACAGUGGGCUGCUUUGUUUUCUUCUGUUUUCCUAAAUCUUGGUAUUGUUUAACUUCCUCUCAUAUAUAGACUUUCAUCAGCAGAAUCUGACGUGCAGGUGAAGCCUUGAGGAAAUGACCUCCAGUCCCUGUAGUAAAUUUGUUCAGGCUACCUAUUAAAAUGAAGUCUAUUGGAAGUCUGCAGCUCAGUGAGGCUAGCUUGUUACUCUAGUCACACAACAAGCCGGUGGCUUGACUUUUAAUUUGCAUAAUGAAGCCUCCUUCCAAGGAUGUGCAAUCUCAGGAGAGGAGGAGGAAAGCCAUGCUUGAACUUUCUCAAAACUGAGAUUGCAGGUUCUGGGAGCAAGAGGCAUUUAGAAGAGGAGUGUGAAGAAGGGGGCGCAGCAGACACAAAGAGACAACGCUGUAUGACCUGCAGGUGCUCAUCCUCUCAGGCACAUUCCCUCAGCAGUGGAAGAGCAGCUUCUCCAGGCUCUUUCCUGAGCAGCGGUGGAUGCUUGGAUAAUGACUUGGAUGACGCCAUCCUGGCUCGUUCUGAUGAGGACAUGCCAGAUUCUCCCACCGGACUCUCUCGUGAAGCUGAGGAUGAGCUCAUAGCAGAGGAUCUGGAACCCCCCCCAUGUUUUGUAGCAGUUGAAGUAAAUAGCUGUGAGGAUGUGAAGAGGGGUAGCCUUUUAGCUUGUCCUGAACCUGCACAGCCUCUGAGGGCUCUGGAUGAGGUUGAAAGCACAAAACCUCUUCCUCAGACCGCUUCUUCAGCCAGCUCAAGUGAGGGGGCUGUUUUCCCGAAUGAUUUGGAGAAAUAUUUGAAUAAGAGCUCUCAAAAUCGAGCAGAGUUUGAUGCAAAUUACAAUGGUCUUAGGAUUCCAGAAGCUGAUUCAGACGUAACAGCUUCUUUGAAUCUGGAGAGAGGUCUGUUUGGAAAAAUAGAUAAUGAAGCAAUAAAGACAGUGACAAGUGUUUUGCCAAUAGGAAGCCAACUAGUGGCUGAACAUGAAUCAUUUGGUGCGGUGGGUGGACGGUCCUCAGAGAGACAGACUUCCCUAAGUCACAAGCAGCUCAGAGGCGAGAAUACAAGCAACCCACUGCCUGAAAAAGAAUUAGAUACUGUUGACUUGCAUGCAGUGUCCACUCAUGUCAAUGGCCAAAGAAACGAUUGUGUGGAAGUUCCUGAUGUUAAAAUAACCAAUAGGUCAGAAUACCUCCCCCUUCCCCUUCUUCCAAUGAUAUGCUGUUAGGCAUGCUUUCUCAAUUCCCACAGAGUUUGGAAUGUAUUUGUUUUUCCCUGCUUUGUACAAGUUAUGGAUUGAGUUGAUUACUCUUCAGAAUCUGGAAAUGCAUUUGAGGGCCUUGUAUGUGUGACGUAUGAUGGGGUUGUGUUAUCCCUUUGCUUCCCACUAGAUGGUAGUGAGCACUAAAACUUUUACUAUGGAAGAAAGAUUCUAUGUCCAGGUUGAUGAUUUGGAAGCCGUUAACAUGUUUUGGUUUUCUUUUACAUUUUAUUUUCCUUAUUUUCCUCUCCCCUCCCCUACUCCCCCAAAUCCCAGUUUUUCUUUUCCAUGGAUAUAAGAAUUUUUCCUGUUUGAAAUACGACACAAGAUUUUUUUAACAGUUGACAGUCUUCAUCCUGCAGAGGGCUAAAAGCUUGUACUUCCUCAAAACCAAUAUUAAGCUAUUCAAGAUAACUUUCAUAUGUCUGAUGCUAGGCAGUGGUAGCUACUCAUAGCGCUGAUUGUUAUUUUUUACAAAUUGUGGAUGGUAUGAAAGCAUGCCUGGUUGGCCAUUGAUGUUGCUGUAGAUAUCUGCUUAGGUCAGGGGCCAGGCUGUUCUCUGUCACCAGAAAUGGAAGCGAAUAGAAGGAGGUAGCUCCAUCUCCCCUAGCUGGAAAGCAGGGCUUAGAACCUGGGUGUGUACCCUUUGGCGUGCCUGAGCUGCAUUGAAUGAAGAGGAAUUCUCUUGAGCUGUGUAUAAAAUAUAUAGUUAAUGUAUAUUAAUCACAUAACGAUGAUAAAAGUUUACGAUCUUGUGGAGGCGUAUUACUAGCUGUCCAGGGCCUCAUGUGGGCCAGGGGUCGGACACACCUGGCUUAAAGUGUCUUCCUGUGUCCUCUGAGAAGAAUUAGACGUAGUAGACCGCUACAUAUUCCUUGGCCAAUGGAUCUCAACGGAAGGUGAUACAAUAAAGGAAAUUGAACGGCGUGUUAAAUGUGAUUGGCAGGCAUUCGGCUAGCUAAGCGUAGACCAACCUCCCCCUAUACCUGUAGAGAAAAGUUUUCGAUCAGUGUGUGCUACCCGCUCUAACAUACGUCGGUGAAACAUGGACACUAACCUCACAAUCGAUACAAAAGCUACGAGUGGCGCAAAGAGCCAUAGCAAGAAGCAUGCUCGGCAUCACAAAACAAGAUAGAAAGACACACAUGGAUUAGAGAACAAACGAAAGUAUAAGAUGCCCCCAAGGGAGAAAAAGAAUGGAAAUGGAAAUGGGCUGCUCACAUAGCAAGAAGAACCAAGAGGGCAGGUGGACCAAGGCAGUCACAGAAUGGAUCCCACUUGAUUAAAAGUGUCCGUGAAAGAGACCUAAAACGAGAUGGAUUGACAAGAUCAGCAAGUAUUGCGGGCCCAACUGGCGAAAGAAAGCUUAGGACCGUCUCGAUUGGAAACAUGCAGGCCUUCAUCCUGCAGUGGAUGGACAAUGGCUAAAAUGAUGAUGGUGAAUGAAAUGGCAUGCCAUGUUACCUAUUUUUAACUAACUGAAUCAUCAGAAUCUCAUGAUGUAUUUUUAUCACUUAUAUGUUGCUGAAGUCGGGAUAAAUUACUCAGCAUUCUACAAUCAAGGCAAUUAUCCAUUCAAAAGAUGAAUUAAGAAUAGUUUGACAAGAUUUGUUCUUGAAAAUCCAUGUUGACUUCCAGUAAUUAACAAAGCAUUUGGCGAGACAAAUACAGGAAGUCCUCAACUUAUAACCACAAUUGGGACUGGAAUCACAGUUGUUUAGCGAAGGGGUGGUUAAGCAAGACACCCACGAGACCACUUUUCUCAAUGACUGCAAUCCCGGUUCUCCCUCUUACGGUUCUUAAGUAAACAUACUGAUUGUUCAGUAGAUGGAGCUGAAACGAGGUGCCUGCCAGAGAAAGGGAACUCCUGGGCUGGGCUGGAGAGAGAAAGGUCGGAUCCCAAAGAUCCCAGCCUUCUUUUGAGGUGGAAGGGAAGUCUUUUGGCAGCCGGCCACCUUCCCUGUUGGUUCUCCCCCACUGACCUUUUGGGGAAGCUGGCAGAAAAAGGGACUUAUUUCGUAAAAAAAAUACAGUGUACUUAGACUGUUUUAAAGAUUUUUUUAUUUCUUUAUUACUGUUAGUUCAUUUUCAUUUUUUUGUACCACAUCCUGUGUCCUUUUGGAAUUUGGCAGCAUUUUUUUAAAAAAACUAUUUCAGUCAGUAUCCGGGAAUGCCGUUCCUGUGAUCCUGGAGUUUUAAAUUCAAGUAAAGAUACAUUUCCCUGACCAUGUUUCUGCCAAGCCUGAGCUUUAAUCCUGAUGCUUCACAAUUUCAUGGUGGAACACAGAAUUUGUGUGGGAGAAGCCUGAACAAAGCAUUGCUACAGCUUUUCUUUAUUACCUGUUAACAUUUUCCUUUCUUCAUUGAGCAGGUGAUAUACUGGCAUUUUUCCUUUCCCCAUUUUAUAGUUUGUUGACAAGUUACACUGGGAGCAAAUGUUAAAAUUGAACUCUUGACUGAAAAUGGAGCAGACAUUCACCCCAUUGUCUGUUAUUUAGAAAGAUGUUUAAUCUUGUGAGACAGUUCAUUUAUGAAAACGAAUUUUAAAAAUUUGGAAGUAAAACCUUUUUACUUUGGGUUAUCUGAAAGUAGCAGGAACAACCUCUGUGCAAUUAUGUCUUGCUUUAAUUUUCAAAACUUUGCUAGUAAUUUGAUCUUUCCUAGAAGAUCAUUUGUGGUACAACUUGCAUAUAGUUAUUUUUUUCCCCUCCUCUUCUAGUCCUGUAAAGCCUAAACGGAUAUUAAUUCAAGAAGCAGACCUUGAGUCAAGAAAAGCGAGAUACGUCAAUGCCGUGCUUAGCCAUGCUAGCUCUGUCCCGUCUCUCAUCGACCCAGUCCAUGAGUUGCACAUCCUGGUUGACACAGUCGC
Molecule: RNA transcript, 5677 nt
Organism: Crotalus tigris (Tiger rattlesnake)
Lineage: Eukaryota; Metazoa; Chordata; Lepidosauria; Squamata; Viperidae
Gene: S100PBP
Gene name: S100P binding protein
Exons: 3
Source: RefSeq, a predicted model, not a curated record